AAAGAUUAAGCCAUGCAUGUCUAAGUAUAAGCAAUUAUACAGCGAAACUGCGAAUGGCUCAUUAUAUAAGUUAUCGUUUAUUUGAUAGUACCUUACUACUUGGAUAACCGUGGUAAUUCUAGAGCUAAUACAUGCUAAAAAUCCCGACUUCGGAAGGGAUGUAUUUAUUAGAUUAAAAACCAAUGCCCUCCGGGGCUCACUGGUGAUUCAUGAUAACUUCUCGAAUCGCACGGCCUUGCGCCGGCGAUGGUUCAAUUCAAAAUUUCUUCCCUAUCAACUUUCGAUGUUUGGGUAUUGGCCAAACAUGGUUG
This 311-nucleotide ribosomal RNA is filed under the name uncultured fungus. RNAcentral's name for it is "SSU rRNA". It matches the Rfam family "Eukaryotic small subunit ribosomal RNA", at positions 39 to 352 of the family's 1831-position model. The record is from RNAcentral. Lineage: Eukaryota; Fungi.